AAAAGUAAAGAAAAAACAAAAGGUUUCUUUUUCCUUAAAAGAAAGAAUCAAAUGAAUACUUUGGAACCUCUAUAAAGUUGCUACAGGGAAACCGUGCAAACAUCUACACCAGUGGCCAGCCUUGUUCUUCCACAGUUCUUCGUGCUUAUUUUUAUUUAUUUAUUUAUUUAAUGUUUCAGGGAACAUAACACAACUGGAUCUAAGCUUAAGCAAACACGUGACGAGGGAACAAGUAAAUAGGCAGACAAAAUCAUUACUGGAGUAGGAGGCUGUGGACAUCUGAAGAAAUACCACAGAGGAAGCCUACACUGCCAUCUUUUCUCAUUUUGUCUGACAGGAUCUAUAUCAAUUCCUUUUUUUCCCCUCCUUAAUUCUAUUAUUUUUAACUACAUAAAACAUUUUGUUACAGGAAAACCAGAAAACCCAGAAGAAAAUGAAAAUCAUUCACAUUCCUCCUUUCAGAGAAGGCUAUAACUAUUACAUUUUCAUUGCUUUUUUCCCAUCAACUUUCACA
This 514-nucleotide long non-coding RNA is filed under the name Rhinopithecus bieti (black snub-nosed monkey). Its description in RNAcentral is "lncRNA (ENSRBIG00000045637.1)". Lineage: Eukaryota; Metazoa; Chordata; Mammalia; Primates; Cercopithecidae. The record is from RNAcentral.